AGCGAACGCUGGCGGCAGGCCCAACACAUGCAAGUCGAACGAACUCUUCGGAGUUAGUGGCGGACGGGUGAGUAACACGUUAGAACGUGCCUUUUGGUUCGGAAUAACUCAGGUAGACUUGUGCUAAUACCGAAAGUGCCCUUCGGGGGAAAGAUUUAUCGCCAUUAGAGGUGCCUGCGUCUGAUUAGCUAGUUGGUGAGGUAACGGCUCAACAAGGCGACGAUCAUUAGCUGGUCUGAGAGGAUGACCAGCCACACUGGGACAGAGACGGGGCCCAUACGGAUUAGUGAGGAAGGAGCGGAGAACUGAGCCAACCGGCGAGAGUGCGACGUGGCCAUGCUGCGUGAAUUAAGCAGGUUUUAGGAGAGUAAAAUUCUUGCUACGGGGAGGAUAUUGACGGUACCGUAAGAAGAAGCCCCGGCUAACUUCGUG
Molecule: ribosomal RNA, 432 nt
Filed under: uncultured bacterium
Lineage: Bacteria
Description: partial 16S ribosomal RNA
Rfam family: Bacterial small subunit ribosomal RNA
Source: RNAcentral